GACGAACGCUGGCGGCGUGCUUAACACAUGCAAGUCGAACGGAAAGGCCCUGCUUUUGUGGGGUGCUCGAGUGGCGAACGGGUGAGUAACACGUGAGUAACCUGCCCUUGACUUUGGGAUAACUUCAGGAAACUGGGGCUAAUACCGGAUAGGAGCUCCUGCUGCAUGGUGGGGGUUGGAAAGUUUCGGCGGUUGGGGAUGGACUCGCGGCUUAUCAGCUUGUUGGUGGGGUAGUGGCUUACCAAGGCUUUGACGGGUGGCCGGCCUGAGAGGGUGACCGGCCACAUUGGGACUGAGAUACGGCCCAGACUCCUACGGGAGGCAGCAGUGGGGAAUAUUGCACAAUGGGCGGAAGCCUGAUGCAGCAACGCCGCGUGCGGGAUGACGGCCUUCGGGUUAUAAACCGCUUUCGCCUGUGACGAAGCGUGAGUGACGGUAAUGGGUAAAGAAGCACCGGCUAACUACGUG
RNAcentral lists this ribosomal RNA (468 nucleotides) under uncultured bacterium. Its description in RNAcentral is "partial 16S ribosomal RNA". It matches the Rfam family "Bacterial small subunit ribosomal RNA", at positions 28 to 507 of the family's 1533-position model. The record is from RNAcentral.